CCGCCACUAGCUCAUCCGGGCAGAGCAGCAGCUUUUUAAGCUGUCGGUACGAGGUUCGACUCCCCGGUGGCGGACUA
RNAcentral lists this transfer RNA (77 nucleotides) under Salmonella enterica. Its description in RNAcentral is "tRNA-Lys". It matches the Rfam family "tRNA". Rfam says of the family: Transfer RNA (tRNA) molecules are approximately 80 nucleotides in length. Their secondary structure includes four short double-helical elements and three loops (D, anti-codon, and T loops). The record is from RNAcentral. Lineage: Bacteria; Pseudomonadati; Pseudomonadota; Gammaproteobacteria; Enterobacterales; Enterobacteriaceae.